This 69-nucleotide antisense RNA is filed under the name Amycolatopsis cihanbeyliensis. RNAcentral's name for it is "ASpks TB sRNA". It matches the Rfam family "ASpks TB sRNA". Lineage: Bacteria; Bacillati; Actinomycetota; Actinomycetes; Pseudonocardiales; Pseudonocardiaceae. The record is from Rfam by way of RNAcentral.
CUUCACCGAGCCCAGCAGCAGCGGGCUCUCGCGGUCCUGCCCGUAGGUGGCCAGCAACGCCUGCGCCUC